RNAcentral lists this unclassified non-coding RNA (400 nucleotides) under uncultured Chytridiomycota. Its description in RNAcentral is "sequence contains ITS1". The stretch from base 1 to 105 matches the Rfam family "5.8S ribosomal RNA", at positions 50 to 154 of the family's 154-position model. The record is from RNAcentral. Lineage: Eukaryota; Fungi; Chytridiomycota.
GAAAUGCGAUAAGUAGUGUGAAUUGCAGAAUUCAGUGAAUCAUCGAAUCUUUGAACGCACAUUGCGCUUCCUGGCAUUCCGGGGAGCAUGCCCGUUUCAGAAUCAUAAGAAUCUCGCAGUCCGCUUGGGGUGGAUUUUCCGCCCUUUGAGGAAUGCGGAUCUGGACGUCUUGUGGUGCGCAAAGCUGUUCUGCAAACGUCUGAAAGUGAUUGUAUGCAUCCCGUUGUACCGCCCGAUGCCUGUCCACAGUGCAACAGAUAGCUUCUCACCCACUGAAAGACGGCGCGUCAACUGCGUACAGCGCAGGUGGAUACCCAAACCCAAUACAUUUGCGGAGACGAGCACCUUUGCCACAACACACUGUGGCAUCUUUGCAGACUCUCUCAAACAACACUUGGUC